GGAGGCUGAGGUGGGAGGAUCACCUGAGCCCAGAAGGUCAAGGCUGCAGUGAGCCAAGGUCACGCCACUGCACUCCAGCCUGGGUGACAGACCCUGUCUCAAACAAACAGGCAAACCAAAACCCUCUUAGUCCCAUUUCCCAAAAAAAUGAUUUUUUUGAGAUCUUACCAUCUCCUGGCUUGAUGCAGAGUACAGGAAAUCAAGACAAAGUACAGCACACAAGGAAUAAGGAGGGAGGGAAGCGUGGGGGAGGCUGACACUGUGGACUCUCCCAGCUCAGUCAACCCAUGCACCUUGCUUCAUGGAAGAAAGGAAUGGAAGAUGAAUCAUGCCUUCAGCACACAGUGACCUUCCUCAUUAGUAAAUGUGCCUCCAGAAGUGUCCAAGACCUCAGUGCCAGAGCCAGGCUGGCUGCAUGAGAAUCACCUGCGAGCUUUUGCAAACAUAGGCCCCUACUGGGUCCAAAUGUAUUCAUUUCUUGGAGAGGAGGAGAGAGGCAGAACAAGGAAAAGGAUGGGAAGAAACCAGCCUUGUGCACAGGAGGAUGCUGGGAUUCCUCCUGCAAGUUUAGCGCAAAGCUGCCUAUUUUACAAGGUCACAGAAGCUCAGAGAGAAGUCCUGGGAGAGAAGCAGAUGUGGUUUCCAAUCCCACUUUCCAGAAGAGGAGACUGAGGCAGAGGCUUUGCAGAUACACAGAGGACAUGUGAGGACAGGUGAAGGUCAUGAUCAUUGUCAGCCCCCUCCCCCAACUGGACAUUCCCAGAUCUGGUGGACUUCCAGCCAGAGGAGAGAGAAAGACUGGAUCACUCAACUCUGCCAUGGGUGCCAGGACCCAAUUUUUCCCUGGCUAACUCUGUCACCUCCUGUCUGGGAUCUCCAACUACUAAGUCUCAGCUAAAACAGCAAUUCAAAGGCGAACUUUUUUCUGAGGCUCCAGGAUUGGGCCAGGCCCUCUCCAUGGCUUUCUGCCCUUCCCCUACUGCAGAACUUAGCACCUGUAUGUCACUAUUGGUUAAAACAUGUGCCUUUCAUAUGCUCUCCACGUUAUCUGCAGCAUCUGCAAAGAAUAAUAAUGAAUGGUAAAACCUAAUCUCUAUUGAGUGUCGAUGAUGCACUUUUAACGUGACAUCUUAUUUAAUCCUCACUAUAUCUGCAAGAGUAGAAGCUAUUAAUAGCCAAUUUUCAGAUAAGAAAAUCAAAGCACAGUUUCUAUAACUUACCCAAGCAGCUAGCUAGGAGGCAGCUCAAUUUGAGCCCAGGGAAUCAGAUUCCAGAAACCAUGUUCUCAAUUACUAGAGCAGAUACCUCCCCAGAAUCUAGUAGGUGGUUAAUGAGUCUUUGUGGAAUAAAUGAACAGAAGGACAAGCAGUGGAUGGAUACAUAGGUGGGUGGGUGGAUAGAUGGGUGGAUGGAAAGAUGGGUGGGUGGGCAGGUGGAUGAAUGAAUGGAUGGUUGAGUCGGUGAAGGGAUGGCUGAGUGGGUGGAGAAAUGGAUGAGUGAGUGA
RNAcentral lists this long non-coding RNA (1504 nucleotides) under Homo sapiens (human). RNAcentral's name for it is "HSALNT0051381". The record is from RNAcentral. Lineage: Eukaryota; Metazoa; Chordata; Mammalia; Primates; Hominidae.